RNAcentral lists this unclassified non-coding RNA (323 nucleotides) under uncultured fungus. RNAcentral's name for it is "partial contains small subunit ribosomal RNA, internal transcribed spacer 1, and 5.8S ribosomal RNA". The stretch from base 1 to 73 matches the Rfam family "Eukaryotic small subunit ribosomal RNA", at positions 1759 to 1831 of the family's 1831-position model. The record is from RNAcentral. Lineage: Eukaryota; Fungi.
UCAAACUUGGUCAUUUAGAGGAAGUAAAAGUCGUAACAAGGUUUCCGUAGGUGAACCUGCGGAAGGAUCAUUACCGAGUUAGGGUCUCUACAGGCCCGACCUCCCAACCCUUUGUUUACUCGAACCACUGUUGCUUCGGCGGGCCCGUCCUCUCUCGCGGGAGGACCGCCGGGGGACUCGCGUGUUCCCUGGCCCGUUGCCCGCCGACGGCCAACCCUUCAAACUCCGAUUAAACAUGUCCAUGUCUGAAAUACUUUAUGCAAAUUAAAAGCAAAACUUUCAACAACGGAUCUCUUGGUUCUGGCAUCGAUGAAGAACGCAGC